GUGGGGAAUCUUAGACAAUGGGCGCAAGCCUGAUCUAGCCAUGCCGCGUGAGCGAUGAAGGCCUUAGGGUUGUAAAGCUCUUUCAGGGGGGAAGAUAAUGACUGUAGCCGGAGAAGAAGCCCUGGCUAACUUCGUGCCAGCAGCCGCGGUAAUACGAAGGGGGCUAGCGAUGCUCGGAUUUACUGGGCGUAAAGGGCGCGUAGGCGGACAUUUAAGUCAGGGGAGAAAUCCCGGGGCUCAACCUCGGAACUGCCUUUGAUACUGUGUGUCUUGAGUAUGAGGGAGGUGUGUGGAACUCCGAGUGUAGAGGUGAAAUUCGUAGAUAUUCGGAAGAACACCAGUGGCGGAGGCGACACACUGACUCAUUACUGACGCUGUGGCGCGAAAGCGUGGGGAGCAAACAGGAUUAGAAACCCCGGUAGUCC
Molecule: ribosomal RNA, 425 nt
Filed under: uncultured bacterium
Lineage: Bacteria
Description: partial 16S ribosomal RNA
Rfam family: Bacterial small subunit ribosomal RNA
Source: RNAcentral